CGUUAGUAGUAGCAGGAAGGUUAUUAGGGAUAAGCUUAAUAUCUAAUAUUUAUAUAGAUUAGGGGUUUAGAGUACCUAAGGAAUAACAGUGUCUAUUGGUUUUGUAACUGAUUAGAGCCUAACUUUAUUAAUGGAUUAUACGAGGGUAGCUUGAAAUCUUUUUUGUUAGUAAUAAUGGUAGAAUUAGUAGAUUAGAUCUUAGUCUGUAACUUAGGUGUUUUAAUUGGGGUAGGUUAACUCUUAGCUUUUGGUAAGGAACUCGGCAAAAAUUUUUCUUAACUGUUUAUCAAAAACAUUUCUUUAAGGGUGGAUUUAAAGUAUAUUCUGCCCCCUGAUUUAUCUAUUAAAGGGCCGCAGUAGCCUGACUGUGCUAAGGUAGCAUAAUCAUUAGGUUCUUAAUUGGGAUCUGGAAUGAAUGAAUGAAUAAGGAGAAGCUGUCUAUCAAUAGGGUUUGAAGUUAAAUUUUUAGUAAGAAUGCUAGAAUGAGUUAGUGGGACGAUAAGACCCUAUAAAGCUUUACUAGCUUUUAGUGAAAAAUUUUACUACUUUUACUACUAAGNUUAGUUUUACUGGGGCGGUAGCUAAUCAACUUAGUUGAUUUUCUUUACUUGUGGAUCCACCUUUGGUGAAGUAAGAUUAAGUUACUUUAGGGAUAACAGCAUGAUAUACCCAUGGAGUUCUAAUCGAAGGGUAUGAUUGUGACCUCGAUGUUGAAUUAACCUCAUUGUAAGGUGUAGAAGCUUUAUGAGUUAGUCUGUUCGACUAUUGAAGGGUUACGUGAUUUGAGUUCAAACCGGUUUAAGCCAGGUUGGUUUCUAUCUACUGAUUUUUAAAAAGCUUUUUAGUACGAAAGGACCAAAGGCCUUAGAGGUUUCUAGUUUAGAUGUGUAUUAGCUGAUUUUAGGUAUGAU
This 911-nucleotide ribosomal RNA is filed under the name Leiobunum nigropalpi. RNAcentral describes it as "16S ribosomal RNA". It matches the Rfam family "Bacterial large subunit ribosomal RNA", at positions 969 to 2765 of the family's 2925-position model. Lineage: Eukaryota; Metazoa; Arthropoda; Arachnida; Opiliones; Sclerosomatidae. The record is from RNAcentral.